ACGUAGGUGGCGAGCGUUGUCCGGAAUCACUGGGCGUAAAGGGCGCGUAGGCGGUUUCACAAGUCGCAUGUGAAGGACCAGGGCUUAACUCUGGGGGGUCAUGCGAAACUGUGAGGCUUGAGUGCAGUAGAGGAAAGCGGAAUUCCUGGUGUAGCGGUAAAAUGCGUAGAGAUCAGGAGGAACACCGGUGGCGAAGGCGGCUUUCUGGGCUGCAACUGACGCUGAUGCGCGAAAGCGUGGGGAGCAAACAG
This 251-nucleotide ribosomal RNA is filed under the name uncultured prokaryote. RNAcentral's name for it is "partial 16S rRNA". It matches the Rfam family "Bacterial small subunit ribosomal RNA", at positions 525 to 775 of the family's 1533-position model. The record is from RNAcentral.